GAAUAUUGGACAAUGGGCGAAAGCCUGAUCCGGCCAUGCCGCGUGUGUGAAGAAGGUCUUCGGAUUGUAAAGCACUUUAAGUUGGGAGGAAGGGCAGUGAGCGAAUACCUUGCUGUUUUGCCGUUACCGACAGAAUAAGCACCGGCUAACCCCGUGCCAGCCGCCGCGGUAAGACAGAGGGUGCAAGCGGUAAUCGGAAUUACGGGGCGUAAAGCGCGCGUAGGUGGUUCGUUAAGUUGGAUGUGAAAUCCCCGGGCUCAAACUGGGAACCGCAUCCAAAACUGGCGAGCUAGGGUAGGGCAGAGGGUGGUGGAAUUUCCUGUGUAGCGGUGAAAUGCGUAGAUAUAGGAAGGAACACCAGUGGCGAAGGCGACCACCUGGGCUCAUACUGACACUGAGGUGCGAAAGCGUGGGGAGCAAACAG
RNAcentral lists this ribosomal RNA (424 nucleotides) under uncultured bacterium. RNAcentral describes it as "partial 16S ribosomal RNA". It matches the Rfam family "Bacterial small subunit ribosomal RNA", at positions 359 to 775 of the family's 1533-position model. The record is from RNAcentral.